GAUGAAGAACGCAGCGAAAUGCGAUAAGUAAUGCGAAUUGCAGAAUUCCAGUGAGUCAUCGAAUCUUUGAACGCACAUUGCGCCCUUUGGUAUUCCGAAGGGCAUGCCUGUUCGAGCGUCAUUAUCACCCCUCAAGCCCUCGGCUUGGUGUUGUACGGUUUGGUGGAGGCCCCCUCGGGGGUUCCUGCCCCUCCCAAAGACAAUGACGGCGGCCUCGUUGGACCCCCGGUACACUGAGUUCUUCACGGGACACGUAUCGGACACAUGGGUUUACGGGACACGGUCUGCCUCCCCUCAGGGAGAAUCUUUCUAAGGUUGACCUCGGAUCAGGUAGGGAUACCCGCUGAACUUAAGCAUAUCAAUAAGCGGAGGA
Molecule: unclassified non-coding RNA, 373 nt
Filed under: soil metagenome
Description: partial contains 5.8S ribosomal RNA, internal transcribed spacer 2, and large subunit ribosomal RNA
Rfam family: 5.8S ribosomal RNA (bases 1-121)
Source: RNAcentral